This 213-nucleotide long non-coding RNA is filed under the name Monodelphis domestica (gray short-tailed opossum). RNAcentral describes it as "lncRNA (ENSMODG00000048113.1)". Lineage: Eukaryota; Metazoa; Chordata; Mammalia; Didelphimorphia; Didelphidae. The record is from RNAcentral.
CUGCUUCAAUAUGGCUACCUCCAACUCCCACACUGGCUUUUUUGUUGCUGCCCUGGACAAGUCACUUAACAUCUUCCAGUCUUGGUUUCCUCAUCCAAAAAAUGGAGACAGUACCUACCUAACAGGUUUACUGUGAGAACUGGACACAAAACAUAUGCAAAGGGUGUUUUUCAAAUCUUAAAGUGCUAAAUAAAUAUAAACCUUUAUUAUAUC